This 253-nucleotide unclassified non-coding RNA is filed under the name uncultured Caryophanaceae bacterium. Its description in RNAcentral is "uncultured Planococcaceae bacterium contains 16S-23S intergenic spacer region". It matches the Rfam family "Bacterial small subunit ribosomal RNA", at positions 524 to 776 of the family's 1533-position model. Lineage: Bacteria; Bacillati; Bacillota; Bacilli; Caryophanales; Caryophanaceae. The record is from RNAcentral.
UACGUAGGGGGCAGGCGUUGUCCGGAAUUAUUGGGCGUAAAGCGCGCGCAGGCGGUCUCGUAAGUCUGAUGUGAAAGCACACGGCUCAACCGUGGAGGGUCAUUGGAAACUGGAGGACUUGAGUGCAGAAGAGGAAAGUGGAAUUCCAUGUGUAGCGGUGAAAUGCGUAGAGAUGUGGAGGAACACCAGUGGCGAAGGCGACUUUCUGGUCUGUAACUGACACUGAGGCGCGAAAGCGUGGGUAGCAAACAGG